Molecule: long non-coding RNA, 314 nt
Filed under: Nicotiana benthamiana
Lineage: Eukaryota; Viridiplantae; Streptophyta; Magnoliopsida; Solanales; Solanaceae
Description: long non-coding RNA (NBEN_LNC030340)
Source: RNAcentral
GGACGAGUAGAAUAGAAGAACAAAUUUGAGAGUAUUUUAAGAGAUUGCAAAAGUAUAAACAAAACAUGUCAGGUUUUGGACCUUUGAAAAUCACAAUAUUCGGAUAGCUUGAAAAAUAGUAGCCUAGUGCUAAGAAAAUACAGUAGAAGCAUUUGCAUAUAUGGUUAGAAAAUAGUAGUCCAGUUUUGGACAAGGUAGAAAUCUCUUGCAUAAGUAAUUUUGAAGAAAAUAGGGCAAAAGUUUAUAAAAAUGAGAAAGCUUCAGAAACAGACGAGUUCAUGCAGAGGCGGAUUAAUUCGAACAUGACUUAGAGG